Molecule: unclassified non-coding RNA, 342 nt
Filed under: soil metagenome
Description: partial contains 5.8S ribosomal RNA, internal transcribed spacer 2, and large subunit ribosomal RNA
Rfam family: 5.8S ribosomal RNA (bases 5-119)
Source: RNAcentral
GAUGAGAACGCAGCGAAAUGCGAUAAGUAAUGUGAAUUGCAGAAUCCAGUGAAUCAUCGAAUCUUUGAACGCACAUUGCGCCCGCCAGCAUUCUGGCGGGCAUGCCUGUUCGAGCGUCAUUUCAACCCUCGACCUCCCUUUGGGGAAGUCGGCGUUGGGGACCGGCAGCACACCGCCGGCCCUGAAAUGGAGUGGCGGCCCGUCCGCGGCGACCUCUGCGUAGUAAACCAACUCGCACCGGAACCCCGACGUGGCCACGCCGUAAAACACCCAACUUCUGAACGUUGACCUCGAAUCAGGUAGGACUACCCGCUGAACUUAAGCAUAUCAAUAAGCGGAGGA